Molecule: ribosomal RNA, 498 nt
Filed under: uncultured bacterium
Lineage: Bacteria
Description: partial 16S ribosomal RNA
Rfam family: Bacterial small subunit ribosomal RNA
Source: RNAcentral
GACGAACGCUGGCGGCGUGCCUAAUACAUGCAAGUCGAGCGAACCAAUAAGAAUCUUGCUUUUUGUUGGUACGCGGCUGACGGGUGAGUAACACGUGGGUAACCUGCCUGGAAGACCGGGAUAACUUCGGGAAACCGGUGCUAAUACCGGGUAGAUUAUCAUUCCGCAUGGAGAGAUAAGGAAAGAUGGCUGUUGCCAUCACUUACAGAUGGACCCGCGGCGCAUUAGCUAGUUGGUGAGAUAACGGCUCACUAAGGCAAGUAUGCGUAGCCGACGUGAAAGGGUGAUCGGCCACACUGGGACUGAGACACGGCCCAGACUCUUACGUGAGGAAGCAGUAGGGACUGUCCCGCACUGGACGAAAGUCUGAUGGAGCAACGCGGCGUGAGCGAAGAAGGUCUUCGGAUCGUAAAGCUCUGUUGUUAGGGAAGAACAAGUAUCGGAGGAAAUGCCGGUACAUUGACGGUACCUGACGAGAAAGCCACGGCUAACUACGUG